RNAcentral lists this long non-coding RNA (5842 nucleotides) under Octopus vulgaris (common octopus). The record is from RNAcentral. Lineage: Eukaryota; Metazoa; Mollusca; Cephalopoda; Octopoda; Octopodidae.
GUGACAAUGGGAGCAGCCCUUAACUACCUCCAUAUGUAGCUUCAUAUUGAAGUAACGUAUAUUAUUAGGAGCACACCCUCACACAUACAUCUACACACACACACACACACAGACACAUACAGUUGUGUGCAAACUCUUAUCUAAGCUGCUGCUGCUUCUCGUCUUCCUCCUCCCCCCUCUCCUCUUCUGCUUUUUUUUGUGUUGAUAUAACAUGGUGUAUAUUUGCUCAUUUCCUGAAACGGCCUUUUUGUUCAUCUCAACUUCCACAAACACACACACAUAAAAGAGAAUAAAGAAAAUAAAAAAAUGAAGAUAUCUUCUCCCUUUCAGACAGUCGCACAGAAAUACCAUUAAACAUCUGCACCUCCAUUUAAUGCAAAUAUUCUCUUUGUAACAAAACAAAAAAUAAAAUAAAAUAACAAAACAAAACACCCCAACUAUCUUCUGCCCCAACCUGAUUCCUCUGCCUAGAUUCACCCCUACCAAAUUUAAACAUCUGUCUGUCUGUGCGCAGUUUUACUUAUUCUGUUCUAAGCUUAACAUUGAUCCGUCCAUCUUGUUUUAUAAUCAGUCCUUCACUUCCUUAGAUUAUUUAACCGUUUAGCAUUCAGAUUACCCUCUCAAAUGUAAUGCUUAUUUUAUUCCUAUUGCCCUGAAUUAAUCCUGCAUUAUCUCAUAGCUUUGAGAUUUCAAUGAUGUGAUUGUUUAUUUUUACAAUGACAUGGCAUUAGGAAGGGCAUCCAGCUGUAGAAACUCUGCCAGAUCAAGAUUGGAGCCUGGUGCAGCCAUCUGGUUUGCCAGUCCUCAGUCAAAUCGUCCAACCCAUGCUAGCAUGGAAAGCAGACAUUAAACGAUGAUGAUGAUGAUGAUGAUUGUAGGGUAGGUGCAAGAGGCCAGAUCUCACUAGUUUGAACAUAAAACAUGUUGGGUAUUUGGGCUGGAUAUGGUCAGUUUAAAUGCUAAACGGUUAACCCUUUAGCAUUCAUAUUACUCUCUGAAAUGUUCUGCUCAUUUAUUCACAUUGUUUUUAAUUAAUUAUGCAUUUUACUUCAUAGCUUCAAUGUUUCAACAAUGUGAUUGUUUAUAUUCAUAAAAAACAUUGUAGGAUAGGUAUGAAAGGCUGGAUCUGGCCAGUUUGAACAUAAAACAGGUAGAACAUUUUGGCUGGAUAUGGCCUAUUCAAUUGCUAAAGGGUGAAACCAUUGCAGCCUGCACCAGGUUCUCAGUGGUGCACUGGUCCAUGUAUAUUUGUUGUUGAUCCUUCUGUUUUUGUCCCCUAAGAUCCCAUCAUUAUGGUAUGUUUAAGUCAUCAGUAAGCAAAUUUAACAAUUGUGUAGCUGACUACUGAACUAUACCCUCGUUACAUAACUUGCUAGAGCUGGUUCCUUUUGAAGACACUAGGAUGUAUUCCAGUUCUAUAUUUAAGAGAUGAGGAAUUAUGUACAUUAUUUACAUUCGACAGAUAUUUGUCCUCAUCUUGUUUGUUGUUUACACAAUGUUUUGGCUGAUAUAAGAAGGCUGGAGGGUAUAUCAGCCGAAACAUUGUGUUAACAACAAACAAGAUGAGGACAAAUAUCCGUCAAAUGUAAAUAAUGUAGGAUGCAUUCUUUUUUACUCUAGGCGCAAGACCUGAAAUUUUGGAGGAGAGUGAGGGGCAGUCGAUUAGAGUGACCCCAGUACGCAAUUGGUACAUAAUUUAUCGAUCCCAAAAGGAUGAAAGGCAAAGUCAACCUCGGCAGAAUUUGAACUCAGAACGUAAAGACAUGAAAUAUCACUAAGCAUUUCACCCAGCUGCUAAUGUGCAUUCAGUUAAUUGUUUGGUUAUCCAGCUUUUUGUGUUUUGAGGUUAGAUUGUGGUGUGACACAGAGCUAGGUUCUGAGAUCCAUCUCACAUAUUGCAGUACAAGGCAUGCAAACGUGUCACUCGCUGUAAAUAUGAUAGUAUAAGCAUUAUACAUGGCAUAAAGCACAAUAUAUAAUAUAUAUGCCUGCAUGGAAGGUGGAUGUUAAACGAUGAUGAAGAUUAAUAGUUAUCGCUAAGCUAACAUGGCAGUCCAGAAAAAUAGGACAAAUGCCGCUGUUGAUUAGCUCCAAGAGGCCGUUGCCUCUAGCUAGUUAUGUGACACACAAAACUGAUGACGAUGAUAUAUAUACACAAUAAAAUACAGAAAACAUAUAUAGUAUUUUGUGUUUUCUAAAAUGUAUGUGUUUUGGCAAAUUACUGCUUCUUAGUAUACAAGUUCAAACCUUGCCGUUAUCUUUCUGGGAUUAGCUGAGCCAUUGUUAGUUACCCAUUGCUAGUUGGCAAUCUGUCAGUUAUAAUAAUGAGUACUCCAGCUGAUCUGAUCAAUGGAACAGCCUGCUCAUGAAAUUAAUCUGCAAGUGGCCGAGUACUCCACAGACACACAUACCCUUAAUGUAGUUCUUUGGGAGAUUCAGCAUGACACAAAAUGUGAAAAGGCUGGCCCUUUGAAUUACAGGUGCAACUGGUUUUUUGCCACCUGAGUGGACUGGAGCAAUGUGAGAUAAAAUAUCUUGCUCAAGAACAUAACAUGCUACUAGGAAUUGAACUCAUAUCAUCACAGUUGUCAGCUAAUAUUUUGUCUGUCUUUACGUUCUGAAUUCAAUUUCCACCGAGGUCGACUUUGCCUUUCAUCCUUUCGGGGUCGACAAAUUAAGUACCAAUGAAAUCGCCCAGUCCCUUCCCCCAAAACUUCAGGCCUUGUGCCUAUAAUAGAAAAGAUUAUUAACUGUAUACUCCAGCCUCAAAUAUGUCCUUGUGUCUAAUUAAAAUAGAUAAUUAGUAUGAAGCUAUUUUGGUCUGAUUGCUUCUACAUUGUGUUUUGUUUUAGUUAAAACGUUUAUUUUUAUUAGGUUUUGGUUCUCUAAAGCAGUGCUCCUCAAACUACCUAAUGUGGUGUACUAGCAUUUUUUUUUCUUAGGUGCCUGGGACCCGGUAAUAUUUCUUAGUAAUAUUAAUUUAUACCAGAAAGACAAUAUAUAUAAUGAAUAUAAAGCGGCGAGCUGGCAGAAUCGUUAGCACGCCGGGCGAAAUGCUUUCGUCUGCCGCUACGUUCUGAGUCCAAAUUCCGCCGAGGUCGACUUUGCCUUUCAUCCUUUCGGGGUCGAUAAAUUAAGUACCAGUUAUGCACUGGGGUCUAUAUAAUCGACUUAAUCCGUUUGUCUGUCCUUGUUUCUCCUCUCUGUGUUUAGCCCCUUGUGUCUGCUGCUAUAUUCUGAGUUCAAAUUCUGCUGAGGUUGACUUUGCCUUUCAUCCUUUCGGGGUUGAUAAAUUAAGUACCAGUGAAAAGCCUGGGGUUGAUGUCAUCCACUACUCUACCCCCGCCACCGAAAUUCAAGGUUUUGUGCCUCCAGUAGAAAGGAUUAUUAUUAUUAAGGCAGCAAGCUGGCAGUGUUAUUAACAUACUGGACAAAAUGCUUAGUUUUUUCCAUUCAGAGUUCAAAUCCCACAGAGGUCAGUUUCACCUUUUAUCCUUUUAUGAUUGAUAAAAAUAAAGUCCCAGUUGAACACUGGGGUCAAUGUAAAUGACUGGCUCCCUCCUGAAAUUUCAGGCUUUGUGCCUGUAGUAGAAACAAAUAUUAUGAAGAAGGUGAACUGGGAGAAUCCUUGGCACCUUGGGCAAAAUGCUUUGCCGUAUUUCUUCUGGCUCUUUAUGUCCAGAGUUCAAAUACUGCUGAAGUAAACUUUGUCAUUCAUCCUUCCAGGGUCAGUAAAAUGAAGUACCAGUUACGUACUGGGGUCAAUGUAAUCAGCUAUUUCUUUCUCUCAAAAUUACUGGCUUUGUGCCAAAAUUAGAAACAAAUUAUUAUUAAGGCGAGGGCAGCAAGGUGGCAGAAUUGUUAGCAUGCCAGGCAAAAUGCUUAGCGGUAUUUUGCCCUUUGGUACAUUCUGAGUUCAAAUUCUGCCGGGGUUGACUUUGCCUUUCAUCCUUUUGGGGUCGAUUAAAUAAGUACCAGUUAUGCACUGGGGUCGAUAUAAUCGACUUAAUCCGUUUGUCUGUCCUUGUUUGUCUCCUCUGUGUUUAGCCCCUUGUGGGCAGUAAAGAAAUAGGUAUUUCCUCUGUCAUAUUCUGAGUUCAAAUUCUGCUGAGGUCCACUUUGCCUUUCAUCCUUUCAGGGUUGACGAAAUAAGUACCAGUUACGCACAGGGGUCAAUGUAAUCAACUAGCCCCCUUCCCCACCAAAUUUUCCAAGGCCUUGUGCAUAGAAUAGAAAUAAUUAUUAUUAAGGCAGACUUGUUAACACGCCAGAGAAAAUGAUUAGCAGCAUUUCAUCCAUCUUAUGCUUUGAGUUCAAAUUCUGCUGAGGUCAACUUUGCCUUGUCAUCCUUUCAGGGUCGAUGAAAUAAGUACCAGUUAAACACUGGGGGUCGAUGUAAUCGACUCAUCCCCACCUUUCCCAAACAGCCCUUGUGGCAAAAAUUUGAAAUACUCUAUUUGUUUCAGUCAUUUGACUGUGGCCAUGUUGGAACACCACCUUUAUUUAGUUGAGCAAAUCAACCCCAGGACUUAUUCUUUGUAAGCCUAGUACUUAUUCUAUUGGUCUCUUUUGCCGAACCGCUAAGUUACGGGGAGGUAAACACACCAGCAUCGGUUGUCAAGCGAUGUUGAGGGGGACAAACACAGACACACAAACACACGACAGGCUUCUUUCAGUUUCCGUCUACGAAAUCCACUCAAGGCUUUGGUCGUCCCCAGGCUAUAGUAGAAGACACUUGCCCAAGGUGCCAUGCAGUGGGACUGAACCUGGAACCAUUUGGUUCGUAAGCAAGCUACUUACCACACAGCCACUCCUACGCCUAUAAUUAUUAUUUCAAACUUAAUGUAAAACCAUUUUAUUUUUCUAAUUCACUUUUCUUAGCCAAAUUUAUAAGUGAAACAAAAAAAAUGAAAACUGAUAAAUUACAAAUUUUCUUGGAUUGACUGAAAAGAAAAAAAAUACACACACACACACAUAUAUAUAUAUAUCUAAACAUCCAUUACACACAAACACACACAUAAAUAUCCAUUACACACACACACACACACAUGCACUCAAGCAUUUUUCUCUGAACAGAAAGGACAAACCUGUUGUAUGAAACGAACCCCUUUUAAUAAAACUGUUUUUGAUCUCUUUGAUGCAUCUUCUCCCAUCUCACCUAACACUUAACCGUGUCUCGUCCUUCUUGAUGUCCCUAUACUUGACCAGGUCAAGCAUUCUAUUUAAUUUACGAUUUGAUUUAUAAUUAAUUUGCUUAUUUUUUAUUUAUUUAGUUUUGUUUUUUUGUUUUUGUUUAUAUAUAUGUAUAUGGUUUUUUUUUUUAAAUUACAAAGAAGAAAAAAAUUAUAAUGGUCUUUUCUCCCCCUCACCCUCUCUCCAAUUUUUCUCUCUUUCUCAAAUACAUACACACACACACACACAUGCAUAUGUACAUACAUAGGCAUAAACACAAUUUUAUGAAUUAAUUUACUGAAAUGAAAAAUAAAAAAAAAAAAGGUCCCCAAAAACUAAAUAUGUAUUAAAACAAAAAAAAAAAAAAAAAGAGGGGGGAACAAAAACCUUGUGAUUUACUUUUUGGACCUUGUCUUUAUGCUGGACCCAACAUCUUAAAUAUUUGUUGGGGCCAGCAGCUCUUGUUUAUCUGUACAUGUAUGAUGGCCUAUUUUUUUAUAUAUACAUAUAUAUAUAUAUAUAUAUAAGGGUAUUAGUUUGGAUCAGUUUUGUUUUAUCAUGCUAGCCUAGGUUUCAGAAUUUAAAGAAAAGAAAAAAGCAGAAAAAAAAAUAGCCAGACAAUGAUUGUAUUAUUGGCAGAAUGAUAAAUAAAAUUAAAUAAAAAGAAAAA